This 391-nucleotide ribosomal RNA is filed under the name Rhizosolenia sp. Its description in RNAcentral is "partial small subunit ribosomal RNA". It matches the Rfam family "Eukaryotic small subunit ribosomal RNA", at positions 582 to 975 of the family's 1831-position model. Lineage: Eukaryota; Bacillariophyta; Coscinodiscophyceae; Rhizosoleniales; Rhizosoleniaceae. The record is from RNAcentral.
AUUCCAGCUCCAAUAGUGUAUAUUAAAGUUGUUGCAGUUAAAAAGCUCGUAGUUGGAUUUCUGGCGGGAGCGAUCGGUCCUUCACUCAGUGUUGGAACCUGAUUGUCUCCUGCCAUCCAUGGAGAAAACUUAUCUGGCAUUAAGUUGUCGGGUAGGCAAUCUCCAUCUUUUACUGUGAAAAAAUUAGAGUGUUCAAAGCAGGCUUAUGCCGUUGAACAUAUUAGCAUGGAAUAAUAAGAUAGGACUAUGGUACUAUUUUGUUGGUUUGUGCACCAUGGUAAUGAUUAAUAGGGACAGUUGGGGGUAUUCGUAUUCCAUUGUCAGAGGUGAAAUUCUUGGAUUUAUGGAAGACGAACUACUGCGAAAGCAUUUACCAAGGAUGUUUUCAUUA